RNAcentral lists this unclassified non-coding RNA (168 nucleotides) under uncultured Acremonium. RNAcentral's name for it is "sequence contains ITS1". Lineage: Eukaryota; Fungi; Ascomycota. The record is from RNAcentral.
AAGAGUGUAAAAACUCCCAAACCCCUGUGAACUUACCAGUCGUUGCUUCGGCGGGAUCGCCCCGGGCGCCAUCGCGUGCCCCGGAACCAGGCGCCCGCCGGAGGCUCUUCAAACUAUGUUUUUAUAAGUGGUAUUACUCUGAGUGGCCGAAAGGCAAAUAAAUGUCAA